UACUACCUUCGAGCCUGGGAUAACUAUUCGAAAGGAUAGCUAAUACCGGAUGAGGUAAUGCAUCGCAGGGUGCAUUAUGAAAGAUUGCCUCUUCUUGAAAGCAAUUGUUUGGAGAUGAGUUUGCGGACCAUUAGUUUGUUGGUGGGGUAAAGGCCUACCAAGACUGCGAUGGUUAGCUGGUCUGAGAGGAUGAUCAGUCACACUGGAACUGGAACACGGUCCAG
Molecule: ribosomal RNA, 224 nt
Filed under: uncultured bacterium
Lineage: Bacteria
Description: partial 16S ribosomal RNA
Rfam family: Bacterial small subunit ribosomal RNA
Source: RNAcentral